This is a long non-coding RNA of Ipomoea triloba (trilobed morning glory), 484 nucleotides long. RefSeq lists it as uncharacterized. NCBI's taxonomy places the organism in Eukaryota, Viridiplantae, Streptophyta, Magnoliopsida, Solanales, Convolvulaceae. The transcript is spliced from 2 exons. The record is from RefSeq and is a predicted model, not a curated record.
CUAUUCUCUCGUUGUCUUCAUCGCAUCUCUGCCUCUCUACCUCUCUGCCCUAACUCUUACAACCUUCCUCUACUGAAAUGGCCGGAAACCAAGUCAAAACCAUACACCUAAAACCUCAAUCUCUCUACAAAUUUCACCGUCCAGAUAUCAUAGACAAAGGCUUUGGAGCAAAGAUUCUACGCUAAGUGACAACAUAACUUCGAACAAACCGCAACCUUAUUGCCUUGGUACGUGGUUUGUUGAGGAUGAAGCUGUACACAAGUAUAAAUUGCCCAGAUAUGGUGGACAAUAUCCCCGGAAAAAACAACUGAUCUUCAAUACUUGUAGUUUCUAUGCAAUUCAAAGUUCCAAAGCUCUAAGAUUAUGUUGUCUAGUUCUCUAAAUUUGUGUGUAAAUAGCUGUGAAAUAUGUAUGUAUUUAUAAAGGUAAAAGCAGGUCUGAAUUUUUUUAAAAAAAAAUAUACAUAAACAGUACUUUCAAAGUA